UGAGGAAUAUUGGUCAAUGGGCGAGAGCCUGAACCAGCCAAGUAGCGUGCAGGAUGACGGCCCUAUGGGUUGUAAACUGCUUUUAUGUGGGGAUAAAGUGCGUGACGUGUCAUGCAUUGCAGGUACCACAUGAAUAAGGACCGGCUAAUUCCGUGCCAGCAGCCGCGGUAAUACGGAAGGUCCGGGCGUUAUCCGGAUUUAUUGGGUUUAAAGGGAGCGUAGGCUGUCUAUUAAGCGUGUUGUGAAAUAUACCGGCUCAACCGGUGGCUUGCAGCGCGAACUGGUCGACUUGAGUAUGCAGGAAGUAGGCGGAAUUCAUGGUGUAGCGGUGAAAUGCUUAGAUAUCAUGACGAACUCCGAUUGCGCAGGCAGCUUACUGUAGCAUAACUGACGCUGAUGCUCGCAAGUGCGGGUAUCAAACAGG
RNAcentral lists this ribosomal RNA (424 nucleotides) under Fusobacteriota bacterium. RNAcentral describes it as "Fusobacteria bacterium partial 16S ribosomal RNA". It matches the Rfam family "Bacterial small subunit ribosomal RNA", at positions 355 to 776 of the family's 1533-position model. Lineage: Bacteria; Fusobacteriati; Fusobacteriota. The record is from RNAcentral.